RNAcentral lists this ribosomal RNA (111 nucleotides) under uncultured eukaryote. RNAcentral describes it as "partial small subunit ribosomal RNA". It matches the Rfam family "Eukaryotic small subunit ribosomal RNA", at positions 1676 to 1785 of the family's 1831-position model. The record is from RNAcentral.
UCGCUACUACCGAUUGAAUGGCUUAGUGAGCUCGUUGGACUGUGGCGCUCCGUUGGCAACUUCGGAGCGCUCUCGGGAAGACGAUCAAACUUGAUCAUUUAGAGGAAGUAA